Molecule: small nuclear RNA, 107 nt
Organism: Heteronotia binoei (common prickly gecko)
Lineage: Eukaryota; Metazoa; Chordata; Lepidosauria; Squamata; Gekkonidae
Source: RefSeq, a predicted model, not a curated record
GUGCUCGCUUUGGGAGCACCUAGACUAAAAUUGGAACUAUACAGAGAAAAUCAACAUGGUGCCUGUGCAAGGAUGAUAUGAAAAUUUGUGAAGCAUCCCAUAUUUUU